RNAcentral lists this long non-coding RNA (261 nucleotides) under Elaeis guineensis (African oil palm). RNAcentral describes it as "long non-coding RNA (EGUI_LNC012300)". The record is from RNAcentral. Lineage: Eukaryota; Viridiplantae; Streptophyta; Magnoliopsida; Arecales; Arecaceae.
CUCCAGUAGCCAGAUUUCUACAGUGAUCGAUUGUCUUCGGUGUCUUCCGUACCUCUCCAGCCAUCAACCUUAACAGCGCCAGUCGACCUUCCACAGUGUCCUCCAGACUUUUCCAGCGGAUGACUUCCAUCUGCAGCAUCGAUGCCUAAGGCACCCAACAACAGUUAACCCGUCAGCAACCUCAGAAACAUCCGAGCUUCUCUUAGAUUGCUGAGACCGAGAGCUAUUUCACUCCACCAGAUGUUCCAACCGAAUAUCAGC